Molecule: ribosomal RNA, 511 nt
Filed under: uncultured bacterium
Lineage: Bacteria
Description: partial 16S ribosomal RNA
Rfam family: Bacterial small subunit ribosomal RNA
Source: RNAcentral
GAUGAACGCUGGCGGCAUGCCUAAUACAUGCAAGUCGAACGAGAGGAAGGAAAGCUUGCUUUUCUGAAUCUAGUGGCGAACGGGUGAGUAACACGUAGGUAACCUGCCCAUGUGCCCGGGAUAACUUCUGGAAACGGAUGCUAAAACCGGAUAGGUAGCAGACAAGCAUUUGACUGCUAUUAAAGUGGCUAAGGCCAUGAACAUGGAUGGACCUGCGGUGCAUUAGCUAGUUGGUGAGGUAACGGCCCACCAAGGCGACGAUGCAUAGCCGGCCUGAGAGGGCGGACGGCCACAUUGGGACUGAGACACGGCCCAAACUCCUACGGGAGGCAGCAGUAGGGAGUUUUCGUCAAUGGGGGGAACCCUGAACGGGCAAUGCCGCGUGAGUGAGGAAGGUCUUCGGAUCGUAAAGCUCUGUUGUAAGAGAAAAACGACAUUCAUAGGGAAUGAUGAGUGAGUGAUGGUAUCUUACCAGAAAGUCACGGCUAACUACGUGCAGCCGCCGCGGUAA